This 323-nucleotide ribosomal RNA is filed under the name Uloborus plumipes. RNAcentral describes it as "eukaryotic LSU rRNA". It matches the Rfam family "Eukaryotic large subunit ribosomal RNA", at positions 39 to 351 of the family's 3401-position model. Lineage: Eukaryota; Metazoa; Arthropoda; Arachnida; Araneae; Uloboridae. The record is from RNAcentral.
CAUAUAAAUAAGCGGAGGAAGAGAAACCAACUGGGAUUCCCUGAGUAACGGCGAGCGAAAAGGGAAGAGUCCAGCGCCGAAUCCCCCGCUCGUGAGGGCGGUGGGAAAUGUGGCGUUUGGGAGUGAGCGUUCCGGGUGCCUGACCGUGCAGCAAGUCCCCCUGACCGGGGCUGUUACCCAAAGUGGGUGCGAGGCCCAUAGCUGCUGCGUCUGUCCCGGAUGCGAUCUCCUCGGAGUCGGGUUGCUUGGGAGUGCAACCCUAAUCGGGUGGUAAACUCCACCUAAGACUAAAUACGACCGUGAGACCGAUAGCAAACAAGUAC